Molecule: ribosomal RNA, 253 nt
Filed under: uncultured bacterium
Lineage: Bacteria
Description: partial 16S ribosomal RNA
Rfam family: Bacterial small subunit ribosomal RNA
Source: RNAcentral
UACGGGGGGGGCAAGCGUUGUUCGGAAUUACUGGGCGUAAAGGGUCUGUAGGUGGCCAACUAAGUCAGACGUGAAAUCCCUCAGCUUAACUGGGGAACUGCGUCUGAUACUGGAUGGCUUGAGUGUGGGAGAGGAAUGCGGAAUUCCAGGUGUAGCGGUGAAAUGCGUAGAUAUCUGGAGGAACACCGGUGGCGAAGGCGGCAUUCUGGACCAUAACUGACACUGAGAGACGAAAGCCAGGGGAGCAAACGGG